This 253-nucleotide ribosomal RNA is filed under the name uncultured bacterium. RNAcentral describes it as "partial 16S ribosomal RNA". It matches the Rfam family "Bacterial small subunit ribosomal RNA", at positions 524 to 776 of the family's 1533-position model. The record is from RNAcentral.
UACGUAGGGUGCGAGCGUUAAUCGGAAUUACUGGGCGUAAAGCGUGCGCAGGCGGUUUGCUAAGACCGAUGUGAAAUCCCCGGGCUCAACCUGGGAACUGCAUUGGUGACUGGCAGGCUAGAGUAUGGCAGAGGGGGGUAGAAUUCCACGUGUAGCAGUGAAAUGCGUAGAGAUGUGGAGGAAUACCGAUGGCGAAGGCAGCCCCCUGGGCCAAUACUGACGCUCAUGCACGGAAGCGUGGGGAGCAAACAGG